Molecule: long non-coding RNA, 1219 nt
Organism: Oncorhynchus tshawytscha (Chinook salmon)
Lineage: Eukaryota; Metazoa; Chordata; Actinopteri; Salmoniformes; Salmonidae
Exons: 2
Source: RefSeq, a predicted model, not a curated record
UCCCCUCUCUCCCCCUUCACCUGUUAAAUGAAUCCCAUGUCUCUUCCCCUCUCUCCCCCCUUCACCUGUUGAAUGAUUCCCAUGUCUCUCCCCCUGUUACAGGGAACAAAAAUGAUAUAGUGAGUCUUCACUUUCUGGUUCUCCUCAAGGCUCAAAGCCUCUCGAUCCACUCAGAUAUCCAAAACCUAGUGGUUUUCUGUUCAGGUUGCUUGUUAUCUCAUUACAGGACUUUAUCAGCCAAUAAAAACACAAAUAUCUUAUAACACAGUUGAUGUCCAUAUUAGAGAAGACAGCUGUAGGAUGGAUGGGCAACCUCUGAUACAGGUGAGGUGUUAGUUUGGACAGGGCAGGUGAGGUGUUAGUUUGGGCAGGACAGGUGAGGUGUUAGUUUGGGCAGGACAGGUGAGGUGUUAGUUUGGACAGGACAGGUGAGGUGUUAGUUUGGACAGGACAGGUGAGGUGUUAGGUUUUUUUUUUAGAUAUGACCUAUAUAUCACAACAUCCCAGUGUAACCUUGUCCCUGCCUGGAUACAGUAGUACAGUACCUUUAGAUAUGACCUAUAUAUCACAACAUCCCAGUGUAACCUUGUCCCUGUCUGGAUACAGUAGUACAGUACCUUUAGAUAUGACCUAUAUAUAACAACAUCCCAGUGUGACCUUGUCCCUGUCUGGAUACAGUAGUACAGUACCUUUUUAGAUAUGACCUAUAUAUCACAACAUCCCAGUGUAACCUUGUCCCUGUCUGGAUACAGUAGUACAGUACCUUUAGAUAUGACCUAUAUAUCACAACAUCCCAGUGUGACCUUGUCCCUGUCUGGAUACAGUAGUACAGUACCUUUUUAGAUAUGACCUAUAUAUCACAACAUCCCAGUGUAACCUUGUCCCUGUCUGGAUACAGUAGUACAGUACCUUUAGAUAUGACCUAUAUAUCACAACAUCCCAGUGUAACCUUGUCCCUGUCUGGAUACAGUAGUACAGUACCUUUAGAUAUGACCUAUAUAUCACAACAUCCCAGUGUGACCUUGUCCCUGUCUGGAUACAGUAGUACAGUACCUUUAGAUAUGACCUAUAUAUCACAACAUCCCAGUGUAACCUUGUCCCUGUCUGGAUACAGUAGUACAGUACCUUUAGAUAUGACCUAUAUACCACAACAUCCCAGUGUAACCUUGUCCCUGCCUGGAUACAGUAGUACAGUACCUUUAGAUAUGACCUAUAUAUC